GGGAUGCCCACAUGUGGGAACGUCCCGAAUUGCAGGUUUCAGUUCCAUACAGCCAAAGAUGGCUCAGCAGCUGAUAAAAUGCCCAAGUCGUUUUAGUGGACAGAGAAAAGCUUGAAAUUACUCUAGCAAUAUCUUCACGUUGACAGCUGAUGUGUUGUGCACUGAAGUCCACAAGCGAAGGGAAAAGGUGAGGAGGAGAGCGUGUAGAUAGUUACGAUAAGGAAUUGUAUACAUACACACAACAAGCAAAGUGAUCAUACUGUUUUUGUGGCUGCUAUGAAAGUGAACUGUGUUUGCGUGUGAUCAGGGGUGUACUCAUUCCGCCGAUUCUGUUGUAAAAUGUUUUUAAACGAAAGAAGGAUAAACACACCUGAAUUUGCCCAAUAAAAACUCUAAUUUUCAACUGUUGGACUAAUGAUUACACCCUAGAUCAGCUAGAUGCAGGCAAGAGUGUGCAAGACAGUAUUAAAUGUGUCACUGUCUGUCACCUUGACGUUGUAAACUUUCAUCCAUAGCAAGGUUGUAGCAACCUCAUGAUGGGUACAGAGAAAAUGUGAGUAUCAUGUAGUAGCCUAAACCUAUCGAUGUUACAUUGAGCUGGGGGAAUGGAAUAUAACAAUCAUCAUGUAUGCUGUAAUGGAAACAAGGCCAUGCUCAAAAUAAAUAAAUAAUCCUCCCUCAUCUUAAACGGCACCGAACACCACUGGUGUACAGUAAGUGUAUAUUUUACAUUUGUGACAUUAUUGAUGUGAUAUGAAAGUAAAGGGCUUUAUGUUUCGAGCACCGUAUCGCAAUUGAGAAUCUAUUCACGUUUGGAUAGGGUUUUUGGCUGCCAGAGCCAGUCAACCUCUGAAAAUAAGUUCCAAGGACAUAACGAGUAAUGGCAGGCUCAUUAAGAGCACAUCUUGGGCUAGGCCGGUUCUAGUCUUUUGGGGCCAUAAGCAAGAUUUUGCUGGGGGGCUUCCCCCUCCUCCUCGCAGGCAAAACAUUUUAGUGACCCCCCCUCCCCCCAUUUUGCCAUGGGGUGGAGAAAUUGUUUCAGUUUUAAAGUGAUUUUCCUGCAAUUCUAACCAUGUUGCCAUGACUUAUGCCAUGUUAAUGAUAUCUGAGUGACUAACAAAUUCAAUGCGGGUCCCGUGGAGUUCAGGGCCCCUGGGCAUGUGCCUUGUUGGUAUUUGGCCAUGAUUUAGAUAGUCUAGCCAGCUAACUUACCAAUCUAAAAAUUGUUAGCUAACAUGGCUAUUUGAGUGACUGACAUAACAGAAAAAUUGCUGAUGCACAACUAAAUUUCAAAGUUGCACCUUGUGUAUUCUACUUUUCCAACUCUCAACAGUAAGUUGACACCCUGACUGAGUUCAUACAAAUAAAUAGGGUCCCUAAGCCGGCUCUGAAGCAACAAAACAAACGGAGACAUAGGCCCUAUGACUUUCUAUCUAGAAUAUACAAGAGUCCUAGAGUCCUGUGUGGCUCAGUCGGUAGAGCAUGGCGCUUGCAACGCCAAGCGUCGUGGGUUCGAUUCCCACUGGGGCCACCCAUAUGUAAAAGUAGUGGCCCCAGCCGACUUGUAAGUCGCUUUGGACAAAAGCGUCUGCUAAAUGGGAUAUAUUAUUAUUAUUAUAUUACAAUGUUCUAAGUAUACUUGAUUCACAGGUGUACUCUGGUCCUUUUAUAUAGGUUUAUUCAGGUAAACAUUUUUGUCUGAAAUACUGGUACUGGGAACUCUUGUACUGUGGAAAAGUAUUGGUGUGGUGCACAUGUCAAGGGAAAUAUUUAAUUCAAUUAGAGCAUAUGAUUAAAUAACAAAAACGUAUCUGGGGGCACCAGGUUACAUAAAACCAACAUUGUCUAUGCUUUAAGAAUAGAUUGCUUUAUAGAGCUCCAUAACGUCUUUAUGAUUAAAUGAAUUGUAUUUUAUAAGGCCAUGUUCUGCAUCUGGUGGACAGAAAUGAUUAACUCCAUAUCGCUAAAGGUUUUGGUCUCACUGCACCAAUAGAUGGCGCUAAUAGACAAUAAAUUCCUUUUGAUAGUUAGUUUUAUUUCAGGCUUUUGAAAGUGUCAAGGUCCAUUUGUUUUUUUAAGGAUGUUUGACAAAUGUUAAACUGGAAUACUGUCAGAAUAUCCUCUUUUCACAAUUCUCUUUGUCACAUUAUAAAAUAGGGUGGGUUAAGUUUCUGAAAGUGUCAUUUUUGUGAGUGCAUAAUCUGAGAUGUUUGAUCAGAAUUAACCAAAAAAUUAUCUUUGGCAAGAUUGAUCUUUUGCAAAUUCAUAAACAUCACUUGAACAAAAUGAAGCCGAGGAAAGUCAGAGAAAUGUCCAAGUUUCCCUUUCAUGUCCCAUUCCCAGCUGGCCACCAGCAGUCUCGUACCCUGAUAGGCGAAGACCUCCAGGAUGACCACAUGAAACGUGGGCAACAUCAGGACCUACCAGCUGUCAUGAACAACGGAGAGCUAUGGCAUGCCAUCGUCUGCCACAUUGCACCUCCAUAAGUAAAGACAAUGACCCAACACACCUCCAGACUGUGUAAGGGCUAUUUGACCAAGAAGGAGAGUGACUGAGUGCUGCAUCAGAUGACCUGGCCUCCACAAUCACCUGACCUCCACCCAAUUGAGAUGGUUUGGGAGAGAGAAGAGAGAAGGAGAAGCAGCCAACAAGUGCUCAGCAUAUAUGGGAACUCUUUCAAGACUGUUGGAAAUGCAUUCCAGGGCACGGAGUUCCAAAGAGGGUGGAGCCUAUGUUUGGGAUCUCCAGUGUCUCUCCACGUGAUGGCAGGGGUAUCACUGACCACUGUUUCCCCACAAAGGAGUAACACCCUCUUUUUUUAAAUAUAUUUUUAUAUAUAUAUUUUCUUUACCUGCCAUAUGAAAACAAACAGAGGGAGAGGAGCUACACAGACUACUGAAAGCCCAGGAUACUGCACAGAGGAGCAAGAAUCAAGUUGGAUAAACCAAGGAGAGGUACCUUGAACAAAAAAGAAAAUCAUUUAAAGAAAAACAUCAUGUCUUAUUCAACAUUGAAUGUUUUGUCAAGUUAUUGAAAUUCAAGUCAUUAACAUGGGCAUCAUAUUUGUCUUUCAUUUCACUGUCAUACUUCAUCUAUAGAAUAAAAAGAUUGAUUGGUUGACUCUA
This is a long non-coding RNA of Oncorhynchus masou masou (cherry salmon), 3125 nucleotides long. RefSeq lists it as uncharacterized. The transcript has 5 exons. The record is from RefSeq and is a predicted model, not a curated record. NCBI's taxonomy places the organism in Eukaryota, Metazoa, Chordata, Actinopteri, Salmoniformes, Salmonidae.